GAAAUGCGAUAAGUAGUGUGAAUUGCAGAAUUCAGUGAAUCAUCGAAUCUUUGAACGCACAUUGCGCCCUUUGGUAUUCCAAAGGGCAUGCCUGUUCGAGCGUCAUUUGUACCCUCAAGCUUUGCUUGGUGUUGGGCGUCUUGUCUCUAGCUUUGCUGGAGACUCGCUUUAAAGUAAUUGGCAGCCGGCCUACUGGUUUCGGAGCGCAGCACAAGUCGCACUCUCUAUCAGCAAAGGUCUAGCAUCCAUUAAGCCUUUUUUCAACUUUUGACCUCGGAUCAGGUAGGGAUACCCGCUGAACUUAAGC
Molecule: unclassified non-coding RNA, 307 nt
Filed under: plant metagenome
Description: partial contains 5.8S ribosomal RNA, internal transcribed spacer 2, and large subunit ribosomal RNA
Rfam family: 5.8S ribosomal RNA (bases 1-105)
Source: RNAcentral